Non-coding RNA from Callithrix jacchus (white-tufted-ear marmoset), 1150 nucleotides. Lineage: Eukaryota; Metazoa; Chordata; Mammalia; Primates; Cebidae. The record is from RefSeq and is a predicted model, not a curated record.
AAACCUCUGAUAGGAAAACUCCAGACCAGUUGGGAGACUGUGCAAAGGACUUUGCAGAUUUAAAAAAAAAAAAAAAAAAAAAAGCCUUUCUUUCUCACAGGCAUAAGACACAAAUUAUAUAUUGUUAUGAAGCACUUUUUACCAAGGGUCAGUUUUUACAUUUUAUAGCUGCGUGCGAAAGGCUUCCAGAUGUGAGACCCAUCUCUCUUGUGCUCCAGGCUUCAUCACAGGCUGCUUUUUAUCAAAAAGGGGAAAACUCAUGCCUUUCCUUUUUAAAAGAUGCUUUUUCUGUAUUUGUCCAUACGUCACUAUACAUCUGAGCUUUAUAAGCGCCCGGGAGGAACAAUGAGCUUGGUGGACACAAUUCAUUGCUGUGUUGCUCCAUUCCUAGCUUGGGAAGCUUCCGCUCAGAGGUCCUGGAGCCUCGGCACAGCUGCCACGGGCUCUCCUGGGCUUAUGGCCGGUCACAGCCUUAGUGUGACUCUGCAGUGGCCCCUGUGGCCAGGCAAGCAGGAGCAGGUCUCUCUGCAUCUGUUCUUUAAGGAGCUCAAGUUUGGUUGCCAGAAAAAAAAAUGUGCUUCAUUCUUCCCUGGUUAAUUUUUACACACUCUAGGAAACAUUUCCAAGAGCCUGUGAUGGCAAGGCAAAUAAUUCUUAAAGAAGGUGUGGGGUCUUUCCCAACCUGAGGGUUUCUGAAAGGUUCACAGGUUCAAUCUUUAAUGCUUCAGAAGCAUGUGAGUUUCCCAACACUGUCAGCAAAAACCUUAGGAGAAAACUUAAAAAUAUAUGAAUACUUGUGCAGUACACAGCUACAGACACACUUUCUGUUGACAAGGGAAAACCUUCAAAGCAUGUUUCUUUCCCUCGCUGCAAUGGAACAUGCAGUACUAAAGCAAUAUAUUUGUGACUCCCCAUGUAAUUCUUCAAUGUUAAACAGUGCAGUCCUGUUUCUAAAGCUGAGAUGACCAUGUGCCCUUUCCUCUGUACAUAUACCCUUAAGAACACCCCCUCCACACUCUGCCCAUCCCCCAGUAUGCGCUGCAUUGUACUGCUGUGUUAUAUGCUACAUACAUGUCAGAAACCAUUAGCGUUGCAUGCAGGUUUCAUAUUCUUUCUAAGAUGGAAAGUAAUAAAAUAUAUUUGAAAUGUA